GGUUAAGCGACUAAGCGUACACGGUGGAUGCCCUGGCAGUCAGAGGCGAUGAAGGACGUGCUAAUCUGCGAUAAGCGUCGGUAAGGUGAUAUGAACCGUUAUAACCGGCGAUUUCCGAAUGGGGAAACCCAGUGUGAUUCGUCACACUAUCAUUACGUGAAUACAUAGCGUAAUGAAGCGAACCGGGGGAACUGAAACAUCUAAGUACCCCGAGGAAAAGAAAUCAACCGAGAUUCCCCCAGUAGCGGCGAGCGAACGGGGAGCAGCCCAGAGUCUGAAUCAGCUUGUGUGUUAGUGGAACGGUCUGGAAAGUCCGACGGUACAGGGUGAUAGUCCCGUACACCAAAAUGCACAGGUUGUGAACUCGAAGAGUAGGGCGGGACACGUGGUAUCCUGUCUGAAUAUGGGGGGACCAUCCUCCAAGGCUAAAUACUCCUGACUGACCGAUAGUGAACCAGUACCGUGAGGGAAAGGCGAAAAGAACCCCGGCGAGGGGAGUGAAAAAGAACCUGAAACCGUGUACGUACAAGCAGUGGGAGCA
Molecule: ribosomal RNA, 541 nt
Filed under: Citrobacter freundii
Lineage: Bacteria; Pseudomonadati; Pseudomonadota; Gammaproteobacteria; Enterobacterales; Enterobacteriaceae
Also listed under: 2 other names
Description: partial 23S ribosomal RNA
Rfam family: Bacterial large subunit ribosomal RNA
Source: RNAcentral